GCUGGCCAUGAUGGCACAUGUCUGUAGUCCCAGCUACUCCAGAGGUUGAGGUGGGAGUAUCGCUUGAGACCAAGAGUUCUGGGCUGUCAUGCGCUAGGCUCAUAGGGUGUCUACCCUAAGUUUGGCAUCACCAUGUUGAUCUCCUGAGAGUGAUGGACCACCAGUUUGCUGAAGAAGAGCUGAACCAACCUAGGUUGGGACUAGAGCACAUCAAAACUCUUGUGCUGAUCAGUAGUGGAAUUGAGCUUGUGAAUAGCCGCUGUACUCAAGCCAGAGCAAUACAGUGAGACUUGGUCUCUA
Unclassified non-coding RNA from Macaca fascicularis (crab-eating macaque), 300 nucleotides. It matches the Rfam family "Metazoan signal recognition particle RNA". From Rfam's summary of the family: The signal recognition particle (SRP) is a universally conserved ribonucleoprotein. It is involved in the co-translational targeting of proteins to membranes. The eukaryotic SRP consists of a 300-nucleotide 7S RNA and six proteins: SRPs 72, 68, 54, 19, 14, and 9. NCBI's taxonomy places the organism in Eukaryota, Metazoa, Chordata, Mammalia, Primates, Cercopithecidae. The record is from Ensembl.